AAUCCAUGAUGUGGACAUGAUUUGAGUAUACUUUUGAAUCUAUCUCACACUUUAUAAAGACAUUAUAUACCAAUCUCUUUGAAGUUAGUAAUUUGAUUUCUCAUGUGU
This is a small nucleolar RNA of Zingiber officinale, 108 nucleotides long. NCBI's taxonomy places the organism in Eukaryota, Viridiplantae, Streptophyta, Magnoliopsida, Zingiberales, Zingiberaceae. The record is from RefSeq and is a predicted model, not a curated record.